RNAcentral lists this ribosomal RNA (253 nucleotides) under uncultured bacterium. RNAcentral's name for it is "partial 16S ribosomal RNA". It matches the Rfam family "Bacterial small subunit ribosomal RNA", at positions 524 to 776 of the family's 1533-position model. The record is from RNAcentral.
GACGAACCGAGCGAACGUUAUUCGGAAUCACUGGGCUUAAAGGGCGCGUAGGCGGACUGCCAAGUCAGGGGUGAAAGCCCACGGCUCAACCGUGGAAGUGCCUUUGAUACUGGCGGUCUCGAGGGAGGUAGGGGCGUGCGGAACUUCCGGUGGAGCGGUGAAAUGCGUAGAUAUCGGAAGGAACACCGGUGGCGAAAGCGGCGCGCUGGACCUCUUCUGACGCUGAGGCGCGAAAGCCAGGGGAGCGAACGGG